UGGGGAAUUUUGGACAAUGGGGGCAACCCUGAUCCAGCAAUGCCGCGUGUGUGAAGAAGGCCUUCGGGUUGUAAAGCACUUUUGUCCGGAAAGAAAACGCCGUGGUUAAUACCCGUGGCGGAUGACGGUACCGGAAGAAUAAGCACCGGCUAACUACGUGCCAGCAGCCGCGGUAAUACGUAGGGUGCAAGCGUUAAUCGGAAUUACUGGGCGUAAAGCGUGCGCAGGCGGUCCGCUAAGACAGAUGUGAAAUCCCCGGGCUUAACCUGGGAACUGCAUUUGUGACUGGCGGGCUAGAGUAUGGCAGAGGGGGGUAGAAUUCCACGUGUAGCAGUGAAAUGCGUAGAGAUGUGGAGGAAUACCGAUGGCGAAGGCAGCCCCCUGGGCCAAUACUGACGCUCAUGCACGAAAGCGUGGGGGAGCAAACAGGAUUAGAUACCCUGGUAGUCCACGCCCUAAACGAUGUCAACUAGUUGUCGGGUCUUCAUUGACUUGGUAACGUAGCUAA
RNAcentral lists this ribosomal RNA (508 nucleotides) under uncultured bacterium. RNAcentral describes it as "partial 16S ribosomal RNA". It matches the Rfam family "Bacterial small subunit ribosomal RNA", at positions 355 to 855 of the family's 1533-position model. The record is from RNAcentral.